AUGAAGCCGGAAUUGCUAGUAAUGGCAGGUCAGCAUACUGCCGUGAAUACGUUCCCGGGUCUUGUACACACCGCCCGUCACACCAUGAGAGUUGGGAAUACCCGAAGCCUGUGAGCCAACAAACGAGGCAGCAGUCGAAGGUAGAAUCAAUGAUUGGGGUGAAGUCGUAACAAGGUACC
This 179-nucleotide ribosomal RNA is filed under the name uncultured bacterium. RNAcentral's name for it is "partial 16S ribosomal RNA". It matches the Rfam family "Bacterial small subunit ribosomal RNA", at positions 1320 to 1500 of the family's 1533-position model. The record is from RNAcentral.